GGGGUGAGGCCGGAUCCUGGUCUGUGUCCUGGAGUCAUGUGUUCCGGAGCCUGCGCUGUUGGAUUCGCGCUCCCGGCCGGGCAGCCCCCU
This 90-nucleotide microRNA precursor is filed under the name Canis lupus familiaris (dog). RNAcentral's name for it is "mir-8799 microRNA precursor family". It matches the Rfam family "mir-8799 microRNA precursor family". Lineage: Eukaryota; Metazoa; Chordata; Mammalia; Carnivora; Canidae. The record is from Rfam by way of RNAcentral.